RNAcentral lists this ribosomal RNA (253 nucleotides) under uncultured bacterium. RNAcentral's name for it is "partial 16S ribosomal RNA". It matches the Rfam family "Bacterial small subunit ribosomal RNA", at positions 524 to 776 of the family's 1533-position model. The record is from RNAcentral.
UACGUAGGGGGCUAGCGUUGUCCGGAAUCAUUGGGCGUAAAGCGCGUGUAGGCGGCCCGGUAAGUCCGCUGUGAAAGUCGGGGGCUCAACCCUCGAAUGCCGGUGGAUACUGUCGGGCUCGAGUGCGGAAGAGGCGAGUGGAAUUCCUGGUGUAGCGGUGAAAUGCGCAGAUAUCAGGAGGAACACCAAUUGCGAAGGCAGCUCGCUGGGACGUUACUGACGCUGAGACGCGAAAGCGUGGGGAGCAAACAGG